ACGUGGCCUCAAAGUGCACCAAGGAUGUCUCCGCCACUGAGUGGCGAGCGGCAGGGGCGCCUCGUGGAGCGGCUCAUUGGAGUGGAGGAGGGCGGAGGGGGGCGAUGAAGAGGAGGAGGAAGAGGAGGAGGUUGAGGCUGCAAGGGCGACGCUCACUUGGUUCAACGAUAAACAGUCAUGGGAGUGCAGAGAGAGAGAGAGCGAGGUUGAGAGAUAGGAAGGGCUGAGAACUACGGAAUGGCCAACACAAGCGUGCCCGGAUGCUAAUUGCCAAUGCAGCCAUUAGCGUGCUUUAUUUACAGCAGCGAAACGCAAUAAAGAGCCGGGAAAUGUGCGCGUCUGCGAUUUAAUGUUUUAUCUGAAUUGCCCAACAACGGGGACGUUAAAUGAAUAUAUGUGCGUCUUUACAAAUUGUUUUAAAUACGCAAGCUUGAUGAUGAUGAUGAUGGCUGCGAUGAUGAUGAUGAUGAUGCCGAUACGCACUCGUUAUUGAUGAUGCACACGCCUAAUUGAUGACGGUUAGGUAUAAACAUAAACGAUGGUUUGUGGAUGAGGUUUUUUUUGUUUGUUCCUAAAUGCAUAAAUGCCACGUUUAUUAUUAACGUUAUUCUGCCCUUGCACGCGUGCGAUGGCGGUGAUGUAUUCAGUCAGGACCUCGAUGCCAACCGAUGUUGCGGUCUGCCGCUUGCCACGACUAGAGAGCUUCACCGGAAGGGACAGAGAGGGACAGAGAGGGAGAGUUCGUGUCGUUUUGCUGUUCCUGCUCCUCCGUCGAAGGGGGCACAGAGACUCGUGGACUCACGCAAGCAGAGAGCCAGACUCACGCGGAGAGCCACUGACUCGCACCGAGCCACGUGGACUCACACUUUGCUAUUCUUGCGUGUGGCAGCGAUCGUGUUCAUGAGCUAAAUGGCAACGUCGAGCGACUCGAGGGCUUCAGGAGAGAGAGAGAGAGAGAGCUCGUGUCCGUGUAUCACCAAUACGUGUAUCACCAAUACGUGUAUCACCAAUACGUGCAUCACCAAUACGAUUCUGAGACAACGCGAUGCAGUCAGCGCACGUUAUAACCGAAUAAACCCAACGCUUGUGUGAG
This is a non-coding RNA of Petromyzon marinus (sea lamprey), 1093 nucleotides long. NCBI's taxonomy places the organism in Eukaryota, Metazoa, Chordata, Hyperoartia, Petromyzontiformes, Petromyzontidae. The record is from RefSeq and is a predicted model, not a curated record.